UGCAUAGGAGCAUGAUGUCGCAUCCUCUAAUCAUAAACAGGGUAGCACGUGACCAUGCAUGUGGGGAGUGCAUGGUUAUUUUAAUCAGAUAUGCUUCGAUAGAAACGAUAAAUGGGAUAUUGUUUAAAAAUUGUAUAUGAAUUCCUUACAAAAUUUAACUGUAAUACAGGAAGGAAAUGUUCGCAUCAGUUCAAAUUGUAGUUGAUAAUUUUCCGAGAGACGUGAGGAAAAUGUACUGGUCGCUCAGAUUCGUCAUUGUGGUUUUUAAUAUCUUUGUUGCAGAUUGUGGAAGACUCUGUGAAAAUAGAGAGCAUGGAUGUUGUUCAGGUCAAGUGUGGAACGAAACGCUGGAAAUGUGUACAGAUUGAUCACUGUCCAUCAUCUUCACUUGUUCUUUCAACAAAGGAAGUAAAAAUCAUAUUGUACAACAGGAUACACGGGCAAGUUCUGCGAUAUCAGAUGUCAGUAUCCUUACUAUGGAAUACAGUGUCUUAUGAAGUGCGAUCCUCCCCACAGUAGAGACCACUAUGAUUUCAAAACAGGGUGUGCUCACAAAGAAUUCACAGUACUCUUUACUUCACCAGUAACGGAUUACUCAACGGUAAUGCAAAGAACUGACUCAGAUGAUUCUACGAAUAAACCAAUAGAUCGAGACAGGCGAUUUACAAACAAGUUGAUGUUGCGGAGGUCUCAACAAUCCGUUUAAAUAAGCAUGGAUGAUGUGUGGAAACAAUAUGGAAUGAAACACUCGGCAGAUGUACAGAAUUCACAGUACUCUUUACUUCCCCAGCAACGGAUUACUCUAAGGAAAUGCAAAGAGCAGACUCAGAUAAUUCUACAAAUAAAUCAAUAGGUAAUUGUAUUCUUAUCUAAACAUUAUGUUCCAUCUUUUGAGUGGGAUCUGUAUUUGAGCAAUGUAUGUUACCAUGCAUACAACGGAAUAUAUAAAGACGCGGAGAAAAAGAUGUGUACUCUAAAAUAGGCAUAUGUACACUAAUUACUAAUUAAAGACAACUUUAUGUCUAUUGUUUGAAAAUGUUUAUAUUGUACCCAUCAAUUUCUGGCUAGGGGACAAUAAUUCAACAUUUCACUAUUCCAAAUCUCCUUAGCUAUUGUUGUGCUCAAUAUCAACGACUUGUAUCAUGUAUGUAUCAACAUGCAUGUAUUACACAUCCAUUUUAUCAUUGAUUUGAUAGUAAUUAAACUAUAAAAUUGCAAUGCAUCAUAUUUUUGAUGAAAGCACGAACAAUAUCUAUAUACCGGAAUGUGAGAAUAAAGGAUUAAUGUAUAUGUAUAAUCCAAGGGCAAUGAUUCCGUUUUGAUUGAUUUCUUUAUAAAGUUCAUUAUGCAAUAUAUCUCCUUUAUUUUCACCGACAUUUUGUAUAUUUUUGUAAACAAGCAGUUUUAUGAAUGUAAAAAUGACUAACGCCAUUUUACUUUUAUAUAAUGUGUUGUACUCGAACACACCUUUUUAUGCUCCUGUUAUUAAAUGAAACACACCCAUCUUUCAAAUAAUUCUUUGUAAAAUCACCCAAGCGUAACUUUAUCGACGGGUAUUCAUUCUCGGGUGAGUUACGUCAAUGGUAAGACGGUGGGUGUGUCACUGUGCUGUAUGCUGACACGUGUUCGAUGUGAAUUAUUUAUAUACAUGUUUUAGUAACUUAUGUAUGGCACGUGUACGGAUACACGAUCGUGGUAAGUAUAUAUUUUGCAUUUAUAGUUCAUUUGCAGUGUGUACAAACUGUUAGAUAAGCGAAAAACGCUUAUUUAACAGUUUCUACAUACCCUCUCUUAUAUUUGAACUUGGCCAGUACUUACCGUUUUACACGUAUGUAUGGGCAAAGCAUGACGGUGGCGUGAUAAUUUAGAUCUUUUUAUUGUUACAUUAUAUAGAGAGUUAGCGAGUUAAUUUUCAAUGUUCUUGGUAAUAUUCUUGUGACAUUAUUUCUCUAUCUGGGCGGAAGUGAAUGACCGGAUGUGAUUCAGGGUCCGCCCAAUCUUUUAACAAAUAAGUAUCAAUGCUAGUUUUUACAUGUGCAUUUAUUUUCAUAUUUACUUUCAUCAUACAACUAUUGAACGAGGAAAUCAAUAUAGUGAAUUGUUGAACCAUAUAUCAACGGCAAUCCAUGAACAGCUAGUAUUUAGAUUCAACCCUGAGAGGAGAGGGAUCUACGGUUCAACAGUUUAAACCCUAAAAUCAAGAACUAUUAGGGAUUGCAGCUAAGUGACGAACGUGGUUCGCUCAUUGCAGUAUAUAGAACUUAAUCAUAGUUGCAAACAUGUCAUGUCAUGUGUUUUCAUUCAUUUUUGAAUUCGACAAACUUGGAGAUGACAAUAUUGACCAUUGAAGUCAAGUGGCAACUAACUGUAUAACUGUAUAAUCAUAUGGAGAAUAUUGAUAAGUUUUCUUUUGUCACUGUAAAUAUUAAUUGCAUAAGUUAUGUGUAUGUUAGGUGAGUGACAGAUGUGAUCAUUAUUGUUCUCUCUUUUUAUCUUUUUUUUUCUUUUGUAAAUAAAUUUUGUUAUUUGAAGUUAUUUUCUUGUCUGAUUAGAGAUAGCUUUGCUUGCCUCACGUUAUAAUGAAACUGUUAUGAAUACUAUUAUAUAGAUAUAAAUAGUUUUUAGGAAAUUUUGAUAAUGCUGAGAGGCUGACGCUGAUAUACAAUUCUGUUUAUGUAUAUUUCGCGUCUUGAAAGUGCGAUGGCCUAUGUAUUUUAUUUGAUAAUUUAUUAGUUUUAACUCUAAUAAAUAGAAAUAGAUACAUUUUCAAUAGUUUCAUCAGAUAAUGAUGCGAGUAUUCGGUUACCUUAACAUGUUACUUGUAUAUUUUUUCGCAUUCUAUUUGAUAUUUUGUCACUCUGGUAUGGACCUGCUCUGACUUUGAUCACAUAUUAAGUCCAUAAUGGUGAGUAAAUAUGUGUGCACAUGUUAUAUUCUAUGUUAUUACAUGUAGCAGGCUCUAUGGUUGAUAGUGGUUAAAACAUUCGCUCUGUAAAAGAAAUGGGUGUGGUUUCAAGCCCCGCUUGCACCUUGGUCGAGUCAAACCUAAGGUGGAAAAUUAUGUAAUGACUACUACCUAAUUAAAAUAUUCAAUAUUUGGAGAGGAAUGUUACAAGUCUAUCGCAUGAUACCUUACACGAAACCGAUGCUUCGUAUCACGACAGCAGGCACUAUUGUUACGGUCGUAGGUCGAUAGAAUAGGUCAAAAUUAAUUACACUUUAAUCUAUACCUGAUGAAGACUUGACAUGAGUUAAACAUUCUUAUUGGAACAGAAAACAAACCAAAAGAAUUUUUCAGGAAUGAUAUACAUUAAUGUUACUACCACAAGAGAUAAAAAUCGAUUUAAGAGCAGAAAUGGCCGGGUUGCUUUAAGAUAUGUUAUCUAUCAUAGAGACAAGUACAAAACAUACUGAAAAAAUGACAUUAAAUGUAGGAUUUAAAAAAAGAUGCAAUUUUAAAAUAUCAGAUGUAUAUUGUCUGUGUUUUUAUAACAUAUAUAAUGUACAAGGUAUGGAAAAUGUUAAGUAAAAGCUGUGAGAGGAGUUCGUUACACAAAGUAGCUGCAAUACUUAAAAUGACAAAGUUCAACUACAUCAUGUACACGCAAAAUUUUCAAAGAAUGUCCGAUAAUUUUUUUUUAAAAAGACGCAUGCAGAUCUCCAAUGCUUUUAUAACAGCUGUGCUGAAUCUGAGGGAUGUCAAAUAAAUGACCCACAUGUUUGCAGUUUCUCCCUAUACAACGGAAGUUGGGGGUGUGCUUACGAUUGCGGUCCCAAUCUUCACAUAAAUAGUAAUAACAAUCAGUGUAUAAUAAAACAUAUGUUACUAAAUUCUUUAUCAUGCUGAAUUUUAACAGGUUGUAUUAUAUCUAUGACAUAAAGAAGGUGAGAGGUUAAGAUAGCGAACAGUGAUCAAUCUCAUAACUCCUAUCAGCAAUACAAAAUAGAGAGUUGGGCUAACACGAACCCCUGGACACACCAGGGGUGGGAUAAGGUGGCUAGGAAUAGUAAACAUCCCCUGUCGACCGGUCACACCCACCGUGAGCCCUAUAUCUUGAUCAGGCAAACAGAGUUAACCGUAGCCAGAAUCACUGUGCCAAUUCUGUGCCAAGGUUUAAUUUCUUGGAUUUUAUGAAGGAAACAUUGUAAGGAGCUACUCUACAUCGUCAUAAUGGCUGACUUCCUAUAAAAACAUGGGGGGGGAAAAUCAAUAUCAGCAAUAUGUAACGUUUCCUUUUGAAUUUAAAUGCGUAGCCGAGUAGCUCAGUAGGUUAACAUACCGACUGCUGAACUGUAGGUCGCAGGGUCGAGUCCAGCAGGGGUCUUAAUUUUUUUGUCCAGAUUAUCUUCUACUAAAACUGUAUUUUUUGACAAAAUAAAGUGAAUUUGAAAAAAAUUAACUUCAAAAUAGUGUUCUACAUAUCCUCCACUUGUCAU
This is an RNA transcript of Ostrea edulis (European flat oyster), 4437 nucleotides long. RefSeq lists it as uncharacterized. The record is from RefSeq and is a predicted model, not a curated record. The transcript has 8 exons. NCBI's taxonomy places the organism in Eukaryota, Metazoa, Mollusca, Bivalvia, Ostreida, Ostreidae.